This is a long non-coding RNA of Cannabis sativa, 2926 nucleotides long. RefSeq lists it as uncharacterized. Lineage: Eukaryota; Viridiplantae; Streptophyta; Magnoliopsida; Rosales; Cannabaceae. The record is from RefSeq and is a predicted model, not a curated record. The transcript has 2 exons.
AUAUACACUUCCAUGUUUGAAGUAAUAAUCGGUUUAUGGUACAUAACAUUUUACAAUUGUGCAUAAAUUUGAAUUCCCUCUUUCUCUCUCUGUCUAGCUGCGCAAUUAUUUUGGUUUGGUGAUCAUUUCAAUGUGUAUUAAGUUUUCUCUAAGUUUUAUGUUAUUUCGGGUCAAUGCAAUGCGACUAGAAUUGAGCCAAUUGUCUUUAUAUAUUAUUAUUUGUUGUUUCAUUAUAAUGUGGGAGCUCAAGUUGUCAUUUGGUAUUGUUUCUACUUUAGUUUUCUCUAUUUGAGUUAGAGAGCAUACUUGGGUAGCUUGACUUGCUUCAUGAAUGUGUAUGAUAUUUAUUUUGAUUAUAUUUGGUGAGGAUAUCUGGGGCAUAAUGUGAGAGCUCACUGGGAACUUUAGAAAAUAGAAAAUGGUUGCUAAAUUUCUCUUUACUUAUUUAAAUUAGUGUUUUAGCCUACUAAUUCAUUUCCACUCUUUUUUGGAAGAAAGUAUAGAGGUUUAUUCUCUCUGUAAUCUUUUUAAGUUUUUAUUUUAGUAUUCCAGCAUUCCAACAUACUCAAAUAUUUUUUGCUUGUUAUUGCAGGUGGUCAUAAGUGAGAAAAUAGAAUGGUUCAUACACGGUUCUUGUUAGGAUCUCCUUCAUUAGAAUCCACUCCUCUUGUUACAGUUGCUGUUUGUUCUCUAAUUGAGACAAGGUCUAAGAAAAGAACCAUCCCUUGUUCAGCUUCUAGUCGUUCUCAAGUUGAAACAAGGUCUAAGAAAUGACCCUCAAAUUCCACACAGAUUGCUAAAAGCCAAAAAGACUCAUGUAUCUAUUAAUGAUCAGUUAGUUGCCCCUCGCGAGGUACACUUUUAUUUUUCUUUUGCUAUGCCUCUUUUAUUAUUUUAUUGUUUCAUUUUUUAAAUGUUUUUAACAUUAUUAUUUAUUAGUUUAUUAUGUGUAAUUUUUUUUUGUAGGGUACAUCGUUCCUCAUUCCUCGUAGUCUACAUCGCAACGUCAGGAUUACUUACGAAGGCAUUGAUGGUAGAUUCAUUGGGUCUAUUCGGGAAACUCUUUCAACAAAACAAUUUCCAGAUUUCUUUACUUCUUGCUUUGGCCAGUUUGCAUCGUUGGAACAAUUCACAAUUCAAAAUCAGUUAAUUCACAAUUCACUCCUUAGAGAGUUGCGACAACCCAAUCCAGUUGAGAUUUAGAUUGGGAUCAAUGGAAUGCAGCUAAGUUUUGGCCGAGGAGAGUUUGCCCUUGUAGCGGGUCUACAAUGUUUGGGGUCUAGGGAUAAAUUAAAAUAUGUUCGACAUGAAAAUGGUAUUCAAUCAACAUAUUUUAAUAAUUUGAAGUUCUCCAAGGAACAAUUGAGUAAAUGUUUUGUUGAAAAGAGAUGGAAGAAUGAUGAGGAUGCUCUUAAAAUUACACUUCUGCAUUUCCUUAAAAAAAUUUGCUCCGUUCAGAACCUUGUUAUAAUGUGUCACAAGAACACUUAAAUAUAUUGGAUAGUGGUGCAUUUUCAGAGUUUCCUUGGGGACAAGAAGUUUCAUUUUCCUUAUGAAAAAAUUGAAGGCAAGGAUUAACUUGAAGAAGGUGGAAGAAGCCAAAGCACAUUCUAGGAAGCCAUUUUAUAGGCAUUUUGGGUUUGUAUAUGCAUUUCAAGUUUGGUUCUACGAGUGUUGCCCAUACAUGAACGGUGGUCUUGCCACUUUGCAUCAAGGUUCAAUUUCUCGUAUUGUUAGGUGGAAAUGUGAUUUGAAUCCUAGAUUCGAGGAUGUUUCUAUAAUGCUAUCUUUGCCAAUGGAUGAGUUGAAAUUGAGAAAUUUAUGUCCAACUUCUGAAGAGAGAGUAAAAUAUAAUCUGGAUAUAUUUUUCCCUAAAGGAAAAAAACAUUCUUUGCCUCAGAUAGAUAUUGAUCAUCCUCAAGCUGGAGCAACCCCCCACAAGAUGUUGAUGAUGGAGAUGAUGAUUUUGUGGAAAUUCCUCCUAGGUCUGUUGCUGGUUGUCCAUAUUCUGUUCCUCAAGUGUCGCUAAAUAUCAUGCAAGCCCAAUUAAGACUAGAAGAAAGUAACAAGACUAUAGUUUCUGAAGUAUGCUCGCUGAAGACUUUUGUCCAAGAUGGAUUUUCUCGCUUUGAUAUGGCAUUGUUUUAGCUUAUUAGUUUCCAUGAAUCUAGAAAACAUGUAUGUCUUAAUAUAUAAUUUAUGUUGCUUCAUAUGCUGUUUUAUUAGAUUUUUAAUAAUUUUCAUAUUUGAGAAUAAAAACAUCCCUGUGAAAAACCAUUAUUGCAACCCCUGUUUAAAAAUAAUUAUGGAUCACAAAUACCAUCUCUAAUAAAAUGACAAUCAUUAUAUGCAGCAAACCUAACAAUGGCACCAAUAGCAACCUUCAUAGCAUCUUUAUAUAUUUUUUAUUUUUUAAGUUCACAUAGAAAUACCUUUUUUGUAACCCUUUCAGCAACUUUUACAGAAACCAUCUGUUAUAAAAUAACAGUCAUUAUUUGCAGCAAACCUAAUAACUAUGCAAAUAGCAACCUUCAUAGCAUAUUUUAUGUAUCUUUAUAUUUUUUUAUUUUCUUAGUUGACAUAUAGAUACCCUUUCAGCCACCAUUAUAGAAACCAUCUGUAAGAAAAUGAUAUUUAUAUGCAGCAACCCUACCAGUGACCCCAAUAGCAACCUCUAUUGCAUAUUAAUGUCAUAUUUUUAUUUUUUUUAGUUCACACCAUUUAAAUUUAUAUUUUAAUUGUUCAAUAGGAUUCAUCCGUUGAUUUGUCCCAAUCUCCUUCUUGUCAUAAUGAUACUCUUUUUAAUGAGAGGAGAACUAAACAAAGACAUGAGAAAAAUAUUGUUUUAGAAGAAGAAGAGGAGAAGGAAGAAGAAGAAGCAUAUAAAGAAGAAGAAGCAGAAGAAGAAGAAGAAGAAGUAGAUAAA